Molecule: long non-coding RNA, 2200 nt
Organism: Bubalus bubalis (water buffalo)
Lineage: Eukaryota; Metazoa; Chordata; Mammalia; Artiodactyla; Bovidae
Exons: 3
Source: RefSeq, a predicted model, not a curated record
CAGACUGGUUGCUGAGUAGGCAAUCAACAAUGACCCCCACACUGCCUCCCAGGGUUAUCAAGAAGAUUAAAUAAGAAAAUGCCUUUAAAGCACUUAGCACCGUGCCUCACACCUAUUAUUAAGCUUAUCUGUGUUGUUAGUGGGAGCCAACUGAGUGCAGGGAACUGCUAAAUUGGUUUCCAAAGGAGAACAGAGAGUCCUGGCAGGAUAGAUUUUUCUUUCUUUCUCUUUUUGUUUGGUACAGUUAAAAGAGAAAGAGUAUAAAUAUUCUUAACCAUUUGCCAGCUGUCAGGUGCCUUGAAGACAGACUCAGAAACUAAUGCAAUCAUAAGGCAGUGCUUGAGAACAUUCACCACCACCACCUCAAAUAGUAAUAGAUGCAAACAAAUGAAAUGACUGAUCUUAAGGGAGUGUGAGGCUCAUGAAGCUUGAGUUUUGGAGGCCCUUACUUCUACCUUCCUAAGACCUGAGUGUAAGAGGAUAAUGUAUUUUAGGUGAUGUGUUUUCAAGUUACAGGGUCCGUUUUUUGAUGCGUUAGAUCAGGGGUUGGCAAACAAUAGCAUUUGAAGCAAACCUGGCCUGCUGUUGGUUUCCUAACAAUUUUAUAAUGGUGAUUAAAUCUUUUUUUUCUUGAGGAAGACCACUCCAAAAUCACAUCAACUGGAAUCCCUGAUGUGACUUUCUCCUUUGAGUACAAACCCAAACUCACAGAGGUUAGUUUGGAGGGACUCCAGCACCACGCCACUCCCUUUAGUAGACUGGAUGUCAUCGGCAUCUCACCUCCCAGUGGUGUUCAGCAAAAAUGUCUCCCCGUCAACCCAGGAGAAUGACAGCUGUAACCAAAUGCUUCCUCCGUCCUUGUCAAGAGUCAGCUGGGGCAGGAAGGCAGCCAGCUUGAGCAAAAGGGAGAGCUCACACUCGGGAGAUGGGAGCACCUCGCCGAACCUAAAGACCUCAGGAGGGUCCAGAAGUGGAAAGCCAUCAGAAACACAGAACGGAUCUGCAUUUCAAGAGCAUCUUGGCUCAGUUUCUGUCUGCAAGUUGCAUGCCUCCUUUCUCUCUCCAGCUUGACUCCCUGUGCUCCUGGACCACCCCAGGAACUGUGGCAGCUUCAGAGCUCAGUCCUAGCCACACAGAGUCUUUCUCUCAACCUCUCUGUGUGCCUGGUAGUGGAGGAAGGGUGGCCACGGAUGGUUAGGCAGGUUCCACCUUGCACAAGGGCCCCUGAGCAAUGAAGCCCCUGGAGGGUUGAACCCUAGUCCCUCCUGUGUUUAUCAAGCCAUUCAUUAAGGGUGAGGCUGCAUCUACCCACUGGGAAGGUCUUCCUCUAAUUCUGCAAAGCUGUUGGAUGGAUUAGUGAUACCCAGAGCAAACUUUUCUCUGAACUCAUCCUCCAACUGCGGCCCUUGAAUUUAAAGGAAAUUCUCUUUCUCCACUACUUGCAGCUUGACUGAGCUUGUUGAUCGAGGUACCAAAGGAUGUGAAAACUGAAGCCUGGGGAGGAGACUCAACGUGCUCAGGACCACCCAGGUGUUAAGGAGUGGCGCUUGGAUCUGGAGUCAAGCAGCCUCAAAGUGUCCAGAAUUCACAUUCUUCUUUAGUCUCAGUUCCAAAUUCCCCAGAAAAGGAUUCCACUUGGCCUUAAUGAGUCAGAUAUACAACCUCAGUUCAGGGACUUCUCUGGUGGUCCAGUGGCUAAGACUCAGGGCUCCCAAUGCAGGGGGCCUGGGUGUGAUCCCUGGUCAGGGACGUAGAUCCCGGAUGCAGCAACUGAAAGAAAAAAAGAUCCUGCGUGCCCCAAGGAAGAGACAAGAUCCGUUGUGCCGCAGCUAAGACCUGGUGCAGCCAAAUAAAUAAAAAUAAUUUUUAAAAAAAGGGGGACCUACCCAUCUGCAUUUUUUAAAAAACACCCCAGGCGUUCUUGUGCUUAUUACGUUGAAAACUGCCCUCUCUUUGUAGCAAGCCUCUGAAGGGAGAAGAAAAUUGCAGUCUUUGGGAUGUCCUGAGCAUCUUGGCGUAAGGCAGAUCAGUGGUAGGGACGGACAUGCCUGCUCUGUCUCCUUUCUGCCCCCGCUGCAGCCUGGCGCCCCUCUUAUGGCACAUGUGCAGAGCCGAGGCUGAGCCAUGGGUGUGAAUCAGCUCUUGGACUGCCCAGGAGUCAGUGAGUGUUUCUUGGUUUCUAGUCUGGCAGUUCAGUCCU